UACGAAGGGGGCGAGCGUUGUUCGGAAUUACUGGGCGUAAAGCGUGCGCAGGCGGUUAUGCAAGACAGAUGUGAAAUCCCCGGGCUCAACCUGGGAACUGCAUUUGUGACUGCAUGGCUAGAGUGCGGCAGAGGGGGAUGGAAUUCCGCGUGUAGCAGUGAAAUGCGUAGAUAUGCGGAGGAACACCGAUGGCGAAGGCAAUCCCCUGGGCCUGCACUGACGCUCAUGCACGAAAGCGUGGGGAGCAAACAGG
Molecule: ribosomal RNA, 253 nt
Filed under: uncultured bacterium
Lineage: Bacteria
Description: partial 16S ribosomal RNA
Rfam family: Bacterial small subunit ribosomal RNA
Source: RNAcentral